AGCCCUUAAGAACACCAUCAUCUUCAACCUUUGAGUUUUUCAUGUAAAAUCUUUGAUUCAUCAUAACUUCUUCAAUUCUCAACGGAAUUGAGCGAUUCUCGCGGCCACGGAACGAGGAAAGGAUCCUCUACUAGAUUAUGGAUUCAAUUUGAGGUGAUGGUGAGCUUAUAUGGAACUCUUUGAUGGUGAUUUUGGAUGCUUAAACCUUCCGCAAAGUCAUCAACCAAGACUUGACGGGGCGACGGCCAAUGGAACCCGGAACUUACAGAACGCGACAUCGCUUAGCUAUUAUCGAAGAUUAUGGAUAGCAAGCGUGUGUUUUUCAGGUACCUAGAUUCUAGACGUGGCUAGAAGUUUGUCUUUAACCGGAAGUUCCUUUGGCUAUGUACAGCCCCGACUUCCGUAGAUGCUGCAGUAGUAUGAUGUCUGACCAGUGUCGUGGCCUAUUACAGAUGUGAAAUUUUAUAUGGUUUAUAGUUGAUGUCUGUUGUGUAUAUGAGGUCUGGCUACAAUAGUUAUCACGGAGGUAAAUUCCCGUGAUGUAAUUUUGACAUAGUGGUUUAUGCCGGGCUAAUACGUUCAUGAUACGGAAACGAUAAGUCCGAGCACGUUGUAUGGUUUUACCACUGUAUUUAAAUGUAUCUUUGUUUAAAUGCUGUGUUUAUAAAGUCAUUGUAUGAUUGUUUAUUGCGAAAAAGUCUUAGUGAAUUUCAGGCUUGCUACGGGUUUCGGAA
Molecule: long non-coding RNA, 734 nt
Organism: Mercurialis annua (annual mercury)
Lineage: Eukaryota; Viridiplantae; Streptophyta; Magnoliopsida; Malpighiales; Euphorbiaceae
Exons: 4
Source: RefSeq, a predicted model, not a curated record